UGUCCUGGAUUCGGCUGUCACGCCUGGCCCACAUUAUUCAAAGACUUUUCUUAUGAGAGAUGGGAAAAAUAUUCUUCCAUGUGUAUUUUAUGAAAUUGAUCGUGAACUUCCAAGACUGAUUAGAGGCCGAGUUCACAGGUGUGUUGGGCACUAUGACCCACACAAGAACAUUUUCAAGUGUGUUUCUGUCAGACCAGCAUCUGCUUCUGAACAAAAGACUUUUCAAGCAUUUGUUACAAUUGUAGAUGCCGAGAUGAAAUAUCAUACUAAAGUAAUGAAUGAAAUGUAAAUAGUGACAAAGGGAAUUACAUAAUAUGAACAGAAGCAUUUACUGUUAUUAAUUUACCACUUGCAUGAUUUUAUCACUCUUGUUUUCUGUAUUUCACUUCUUUUUAUACAAAUAAAAAUUUUCUUAUAGAUUUUCAUC
This 427-nucleotide long non-coding RNA is filed under the name Rattus norvegicus (Norway rat). RNAcentral describes it as "long non-coding RNA NONRATT004542". The record is from RNAcentral. Lineage: Eukaryota; Metazoa; Chordata; Mammalia; Rodentia; Muridae.